GAGAGAGAGAGAGAGAGAAUGGAGGAGUUGGAUAGCAGCAGAAGGGGUAGCAGGUGGUCUCUUCAAGGGAUGACGGCUCUCGUUACUGGUGGAACCAAAGGAAUAGGUCAUGCUAUUGUGGAGGAAUUGGCAGGAUUAGGGGCAAAAGUGCACACAUGCUCACGCAAUGAAUCCCACCUGAAUGAUUGCAUCCAUAAAUGGGAAGCUAAGGGUUUUGAAGUCACAGGUACAUUAUGUGACGUAUCCUCUAAAGCCAAUAGAGAGGACCUAAUGAACAAAGUCUCCACUUUGUUCAAUAGGAAGCUUAACAUCCUUAUAAACAAUGUGGGAACGAACAUUGGAAAGCCCACUUUGAAGUGCACAGCAGAGGAUUUCUCAUAUUUGAUGGGCACCAAUUUUGAGUCUGCUUACCACCUGUGCCAACUUGCACAUCCGCUUCUUAAAGCUUCAGGGGCAGGAAGUAUUGUUUUUAUCUCUUCAGUUAGUGGAGUAGUAUCAGUAAAUAUUGGCUCCAUCUAUGGAGCUACCAAAGCUGCAAUGAACCAGCUCACUAAGAAUUUGGCAUGUGAAUGGGCAAAAGACAAUAUAAGGACUAAUUGUGUUGCACCUUGGUUCAUCAGAACUCCCUUUACUGAACCUGUAAUAUCCUUUCUUAUGCUUUUGCUUUGUGUUAGAAUGAUCCUUGUUUAAUUUCAAAGCCUUGGAUUUUCAUAGUCAAUUAUGCUUUAUAAGUCCCCUUGCAAGGGAACUUGGGUAUGGUAUUAGCAUUAGGAACUUACUACUGUUACUUGAUUUCUUUAAGGCCACAUUUGGUUUGCUUUGUAAAUGGGAAUAGAAUGCAAUUCUUGCAAUCGUAUUUCAUUUUCUUGUUAGGUACACAGAAUCCAACUUUUUAUGGUACUUUUGUAUUUGAGUAACUCAUAUUUAGAUGAAAAUGACAUCUAUUUUUAAGUAUAAUUUUUAAGAUUACUAUUAAAUUAUGUUUAGUUAUUUUAAAUUAAAAAUGGAAUAGGAUUCUUGGUGUGUAGGUAACUCGGUAUCAUUUUCUGUUAUCAGUACAUUUCCAAGACAAACAAACAUAUCCUAACUGUAUAUAUAGUACGUUCUUAGAUAAGGAAUAGCUAAUAUGCUUGGACUAGGAACUUGACCAACCCUUGUGUUUUCCAUGGAGUUCAAAUAUUUUUCUGGAUUGUGUGAUAUAAAUUAGUCUGUGCCAUUUCUUAUGCUCCUUGUCUGUGUUAUUGGGUUCUUAUCACAAAUAUAUAGCAGAUCUUUUGUUUUGUCUGUCUUACUACAAGUAAAUUAAUCUCUUUUCUUUUCUCCUAUCGCUUGUAGGAUCUAAAUCUUGAAAUAUUUUCCAACCCUAUCAUCUCCCGAACUCCAAUAGGACGGGUUGGAGAGCCAGAGGAGGUCUCUUCGUUAGUGGCAUUUUUGUGUCUACCUGCAGCUUCUUAUAUAACAGGGCAGACAAUUUGUGUUGAUGGAGGAGUGACAGUGAAUGGGUUGUUCUUCCCAGGAACAGAAAACAACACAACAACCCAAGUUCCAAACAAUACUUGACAUUCCAGUAGAUUAAGUUCUGCUCAUCAACACGCCUUUGGCAAGUUUAUAGGACAAUUUCACUCAUUUCCUUCUUGUUCCAAGAUUAAAACUUCUGAAAUUCAUACAGCUAUAAUAAUUUCAUAUCAAACAAAGAAACUAAAUGUUCAAUUUGAUGUUUGAUAUAUUGAUAUUAAUGAGACUGGUGCAUCAUCAUUUGCAUUUCAUUUUUAGGGUCCCUCUGAAUAUAUGUGCCCACCAUUCCAAGAGUAAAGCUUUCUUGUUGGUGG
RNAcentral lists this unclassified non-coding RNA (1829 nucleotides) under Hevea brasiliensis (rubber tree). Lineage: Eukaryota; Viridiplantae; Streptophyta; Magnoliopsida; Malpighiales; Euphorbiaceae. The record is from RNAcentral.